UGCAAGUCGAACGCUGAAGCACCAGCUUGCUGGUGUGGAUGAGUGGCGAACGGGUGAGUAAUACGUGAGUAACCUGCCCUUGACUCUGGGAUAAGCCCGGGAAACUGGGUCUAAUACUGGAUGCUACAUGUCACCGCAUGGUGGUGUGUGGAAAGGGUUUACUGGUCUUGGAUGGGCUCACGGCCUAUCAGCUUGUUGGUGAGGUAAUGGCUCACCAAGGCGACGACGGGUAGCCGGCCUGAGAGGGUGACCGGCCACACUGGGACUGAGACACGGCCCAGACUCCUACGGGAGGCAGCAGUGGGGAAUAUUGCACAAUGGGCGAAAGCCUGAUGCAGCGACGCCGCGUGAGGGAUGACGGCCUUCGGGUUGUAAACCUCUUUCAGCAGGGAAGAAGCCACAAGUGACGGUACCUGCAGAAGAAGCGCCGGCUAACUACGUGCCAGCAGCCGCGGUAAUACGUAGGGCGCAAGCGUUGUCCGGAAUUAUUGGGCGUAAAGAGCUCGUAGGCGGUUUGUCGCGUCUGCUGUGAAAGCCCGGGGCUUAACCCCGGGUGUGCAGUGGGUACGGGCAGACUAGAGUGCAGUAGGGGAGACUGGAAUUCCUGGUGUAGCGGUGGAAUGCGCAGAUAUCAGGAGGAACACCGAUGGCGAAGGCAGGUCUCUGGGCUGUUACUGACGCUGAGGAGCGAAAGCAUGGGGAGCGAACAGGAUUAGAUACCCUGGUAGUCCAUGCCGUAAACGUUGGGCACUAGGUGUGGGGGACAUUCCACGUUUUCCGCGCCGUAGCUAACGCAUUAAGUGCCCCGCCUGGGGAGUACGGCCGCAAGGCUAAAACUCAAAGGAAUUGACGGGGGCCCGCACAAGCGGCGGAGCAUGCGGAUUAAUUCGAUGCAACGCGAAGAACCUUACCAAGGCUUGACAUAUACCGGAUCGUUCCAGAGAUGGUUCUUCCCCUUUGGGGUCGG
RNAcentral lists this ribosomal RNA (967 nucleotides) under Kocuria sp. RNAcentral describes it as "bacterial SSU rRNA". It matches the Rfam family "Bacterial small subunit ribosomal RNA", at positions 56 to 1030 of the family's 1533-position model. The record is from RNAcentral. Lineage: Bacteria; Bacillati; Actinomycetota; Actinomycetes; Micrococcales; Micrococcaceae.